GACGAACGCUGGCGGCGUGCUUAACACAUGCAAGUCGAACGGAAAGGCCCUGCUUUUGUGGGCUGCUCGAGUGGCGAACGGGUGAGUAACACGUGAGUAACCUGCCCUUGACUUUGGGAUAACUUCUGGAAACUGGGGCUAAUACCGGAUAGGAGCUCCUGCUGCAUGGUGGGGGUUGGAAAGUUUCGGUGGUUGGGGAUGGACGCGCGGCUUAUCAGCUUGAUGGUGUGGUAGUGGCUUCCGAAGGCCUAGGCGGUUAGCCGGCCUGGGAGGGUGACCGGCCACAUUGGGACUGAGAUAGGGCCCAGACUCCUACGGGAGGCAGCAGUGGAGAAUAGUGCGCAAUGGGCGGAAGCCUGAUGGAGCAAUGCCGCGUCCGGGAUGACGGCCUUCGGGUUGUAAACCGCUUUCGCCUGUGACGAAGCGUGAGUGACGGUAACGUGUAAAGAAGCACCGGCUAACUACGUG
RNAcentral lists this ribosomal RNA (468 nucleotides) under uncultured bacterium. Its description in RNAcentral is "partial 16S ribosomal RNA". It matches the Rfam family "Bacterial small subunit ribosomal RNA", at positions 28 to 507 of the family's 1533-position model. The record is from RNAcentral.